GUGCUCGCUACGGCAACACAUAUAUUAAACUGGAAUGAUACAGAGAAGAGUAGCAUGGCCCCUGUGCAAGGAUGACAUGCAAAUUCCUGAAGCGUUCCAUAUUUUU
Molecule: small nuclear RNA, 106 nt
Filed under: Catagonus wagneri (Chacoan peccary)
Lineage: Eukaryota; Metazoa; Chordata; Mammalia; Artiodactyla; Tayassuidae
Source: RNAcentral